RNAcentral lists this ribosomal RNA (293 nucleotides) under uncultured bacterium. RNAcentral's name for it is "partial 16S ribosomal RNA". It matches the Rfam family "Bacterial small subunit ribosomal RNA", at positions 505 to 796 of the family's 1533-position model. The record is from RNAcentral.
GUGCCAGCAGCCGCGGUAAUACGUAGGGAGCGAGCGUUGUCCGGAUUUACUGGGCGUAAAGGGCGCGUAGGCGGUCUGUUAAGCGUGAAGUGAAAUCUCCAGGGCUCAACCCGGAAACUGCUUUGCGAACUGGCAGACUAGAGGAAGGUAGAGGUAAGUGGAAUUCCCGGUGUAGCGGUGACAUGCAUUGAUACCGGGAGGAACACCCAUGGCGAAGGCAGCUUACUGGACCUUAUCUGACGCUGAGGCGCGAAAGCGUGGGUAGCAAACAGGAUUAGAAACCCCCGUAGUCC